Neoarius graeffei (lesser salmon catfish) is the source of this 5267-nucleotide RNA transcript. It is a transcript of the gene named heterogeneous nuclear ribonucleoprotein A3, with no coding region annotated. The record is from RefSeq and is a predicted model, not a curated record. NCBI's taxonomy places the organism in Eukaryota, Metazoa, Chordata, Actinopteri, Siluriformes, Ariidae. The transcript has 12 exons.
GUUAAACCGAUGUUCCCUCGAUGACUCGAAGAUUGCAUGACUUCUAUUAUAGAUGACGUCACUAAAGUCCGGCUUCGGAAGCGUAGUGCAAGGGCUUAGGGUGCUGUUUGGAACACAAGGUAGUGGAACGGGCAGUCAUUGAGCAGCGCCAUAUUUCCGUUUUGUGUCAAGUAAUAGGUGGAGUGGAGACACUGCGAAAUGGAGGGUAAAGACAGUAAAGAGCCAGAACAGCUGAGGAAGCUGUUUAUUGGUGGUCUAAGCUUCGAGACAACAGAGGAGAGCUUACGUGCUCACUUUGAGCAAUGGGGAAAGCUCACAGAUUGUGUGGUGAUGCGAGAUCCAGGAAACAAGCGGUCACGCGGCUUUGGCUUUGUAACAUACUCCUGUGUAGAUGAGGUGGAUGCAGCCAUGGCCGCUCGACCCCAUAAAGUGGAUGGUCGUGUUGUUGAGCCGAAACGGGCAGUUUCCCGUGAGGACUCAAAUAAACCAGGGGCCCACUUGACCGUGAAAAAGAUCUUUGUUGGUGGGAUUAAGGAAGACACUGAAGAACACCACAUACGUGAAUACUUUCAGGAGUAUGGGAAGAUUGAGAGCAUUGACAUUAUGGAGGAGCGAUCAACAGGGAAAAAGAGAGGGUUCUGCUUCGUAACGUUUGAUGACCAUGACACUGUGGAUAAAAUUGUUGCUCAGAAAUAUCACACCAUAAACUCUCAUAACUGUGAAGUCAGGAAAGCACUACCUAAACAGGAAAUGCAGGCAGUUUCUAACCAAAGGUAUCGUGGUGGUGGUGGUGGUGGUGGAGGUAAUUUCAUGGGCAGAGGAGGUGAUUUUGGAGGUGGCAACUUUGGUAGAGGGGGUUAUGGAGGAAGCCGUGGAGGGUAUGGAGGAGAUGGAUAUGAUGGAUUUGGUGGAGAUGGUGGGAACUAUGGUGGUGGCCCAGGUUAUGGUGGUGGCCGUGGAGGAUUCGGUGGCCCUGGUUAUGGUCACCAAGGGGGAGGAGGUGGUGGUUAUGGAGGAGGAUAUGACAACUACAGUGAUGGACGUAACUUUGGUGGGAACUUUGGUGGUGGAGGAGGUGGAAGUGGAAACUACAAUGACUUUGGAAAUUAUGGGGGUCAGCAGUCCAACUAUGGACCCAUGAAAGGGAAUAACUAUGGAGGAAGGAACUCAGGCGGACCAUAUGGAGGUGGUUAUGGUUCAGGGGGUGGUGGUGGUGGUGGCAGCGGUAGCUAUGGUUCAAGACGAUAUUAAUGUGUAUAUAUUUAUGGCUUCAGGUGGACAGUUAGCAGGAGAUGAGAUGAGUGGAGAGGAGAGGAGAGGUCAGGAAAGAAGCAGGUUACUGUGAGAAAGCCAGGACCUGCUAGUCAGAGCACUAAAAAUGGAGACAUAAAGAAGGACUGUUUCCACUAGCUACAAUGAGCAAGGGUGUAGCCAGACAAAAACUGAACAUAUGGAGCCCGAACCGAGCGCCAAACGUGUUCAGAAACCCCAAAGAUUUCUGGAAAGCUAUCGGGAGAGGUGGCCUUGUCUCACACGGUCGCAGUUACCCAGCCACGCAUUCUGCACGGUGUGCAAGAUUGAUAUAGACAUCAGUCACCAAGGAGCAACAGGUAUGCUAACACCGUCCCACACACGCCCGUUAAAGUACUGCAAUAAGAAGUUUUAGCUAACUGGAAGGCAGUGCGUAACACUUUUACUGUUAUGCACAGCCUUCCUAUAUUUGUAACAGAAACGGUUGUGUUUCACGUGUACUCAAGAGCUUCCUAGCCGUUAUUUUGUGCAUUUACAACACCAACAGUACAGGCUAGUUCUUCAUUUAACUUCGAAGCCGUCACUCGAGGUUGCAUAUUCGAUGCGGUAACCAACGAAACCUGAUUACAAUUCCUCUCAUGCUCUCAUUGAAUCACUAUGAUAAGUACCACUUUAUUGAUGUGCUCAACAAAACGUAGCGUGUUGUAUAUCUUAAGGGCAGUCGGUAACUUCUGUCAAUGGUAGCCUAGGAAUGUUUGCAGAUGAUGUGAAGUCGAAAAUUGGUCAUCCCUCUUAUGAAAACCUGCAUGGUACUGCAGUAUCAAAUGCUUUUUUCUACAGUAUUACUGCAGUAAAUGCAAUAUUUCGAAUGCAAAUGCAAUAGUUUGCACAUGAAAAAGGCAUACUACAAAAUACUGCAGUGUACUGUAUAAUGCAAUAUUUUGGAUGUGGGGGGGGGAGGUCUGCACAGUGCAGGAAAAAAAAAAUGUCAGUUUCCCAUUUAUACACUGUAUUUUUUUCCCAUAAGGGCCUUAUAAAAGCCUGGGUCUGUGAGUCUGUCUAUAAAUUCAGAAAAAUCAUACUAAUAAUAUGCAGUAACACAUUAUAAAUAAUGAAGUUAAGAAUGGACUAUAGACAGUGUAAUAAGCAGUGGUAGUAUUGUGGUAGUAUAGUGGUAGCAUGCGCGCCGGGUUGGGGUGAGGUUGACGUGGGGGGGGGAGGACUCAUGAAAUUGUAAAAUUGUACUCAUAAAAUUUUUUCAAGGUUGGCAGGUAUGAAAUGUUCACCACAUAUGUUCUAUGUUUCAUUUCAUAGUUUUGUUGUCUUCAGCAUUGUUUUACAAUGUAGAAAAUAGUCAACAUUCAGAAAAACCUUUGGAGUAGGUGUGUCCAAACUUUUGUCUGGUACUGUACAUGUUGCAUUUAUACAGUAUGAGCAAAGGUGUAUUGAGAUCUAGCCAAAGGCCACCAAACAGGUUUCAGUUGCCCAGUGUGGAUGUAAGACAGAGCUUCAACUGGACCAGACAGCGAGUUGUCAGAAAAGAGGAGAGAAAAAAAUAACCAGGGAGCAUCAAGAGCCAAGUCUGUGGAGCAAAGCCAUCAGGUGUCACACCAGAAAGCUAGCAUCUGUUUUUUUUCCAAAACUAGCCUAACCUCCAAGAACAGCUGAUGCUAGUGAAGAAAGGCUAGCGAGUACCUGGACCCAAGAGGCGUGACAGCCAAUGCUAGCCAGCAAAGGAAGGGGAGUGAGUAUAAGGGCUUGAGACACAGGUGAAUAAGAGAAGGAAGAAGAAGAAGGAAAUGACAUGUCUUAGGACCAGGUAAGAGUAACCAUUCUGCUUAAUUUACAGAUUGAAACUGAAGCGGCUGCUCAGCAAAUCUUGUAUGACACGUUUUCAGCGAAAGGUCUGGAUGGGUAAGAUUAAUUCCUCAAAAUAUGUGUGGACAGUUUUACAGUAUCCUCCCAUAGCCACAAACACGACCUCAGUUUCUAGACUUUUGGUACUUUAGCUUCAUAACUAAAUCUGAUAAAACUUAAAGAAAGAGACGUGUUUCUUCACUUUUAUUACAGAACAAAUUUUGAAGGUGGACUUUAAUUAAAAGUUACACAAACUAUCAUUGCAAUUGAAGAUUAAAUGCUUUUCAUAGGUUGCAUUUAAGUUUCAGAUUUCAAAUAUUAGAAGUAUUGGUCUUGAGAGUAAUGUCUAUCAUUAUGAUAUUUUUGCAAUAUUGCCUGAAAGCAUUUAUGUUAAAGUAUUUUGCAUGCAUACAUACCAGGGAAUUUAACACUUAUUUCACCAACAAAAGUAAAAGAAGUUGAAAGUUUUAGAAUUACUUACUACAGCGUUAUUAAAUGUUUUCCUGCUUUAGUGUACUUGAGCAAAUUUACCAACUACUUAAUAAUGCAGUAGUGCCCUAGCCUGAGAAAUAAUGACUGUCGAAAAUGAGUAGAAUAAAAGUAUAAAAUUGUACAAUGCAUUUUAAUUUGGCAUUACUAAUAGGAUGGCACAUUAAAAUAAGAAAUUGGUGGCAACCAAAUAGCCACAUUCCCUUCAAGUCGGAAGCACUUUAUUUGACAUUUCUUUACUUGAGUUUACUUCAUAUAAACUCCAUAUCAGGUAUCUCACUAUGGCUGAGAAUAGAAAUACAGGUAGUCGUCGACUUACGACUGUGUUUGGUUAUGACUGACCGGUUGUAAACCAAUCUGGUCAUAAGUCGGCCUAUGUUAAAUGAACGUAAGUAUAUUGUGAUGUGUAAUGAUAUUGUAAUCAUCUUAAAGUCUUAUUUUAUCAACAUUUUCUUAUUUCAUUACCUUGGCUCAUUAUUUGGUUGAAGUCAAACACUGCAUACUACACUGCGUACAGUACAAUUCGUUUAAUAUGUGCAAAACAAAAAAUACGAAAUACAGGUGUGAAAAAUAGAAAACAUUUUAGUUUGAAACAUACCAAAAUACAAAUGUAAAACAUAGCAAAAUACAAAACUUAGUGACCGCUGGGAUCACUGGUGCUUGGCUGUGGGUCGUCUACGUCAUCAUCAGCUGUUGCAGCGCUCGGGCUGGCGGGAGGAUUUGCUCGUUUCAUAAACCAGGAGCUGGGGCGGAAACUGUAUGACGGAGUGCGCGAGGGAGUGCGAGAGAGACUGCGCGUGUGCCUGGAGUUGGGGCGGAAACUGUUGUACGCGGCGAGAGGCGCUGCCUGGAGCUGGGGUGGAAACUGUCAUACACUCAGCUAGCUCAGCUGGGAAACACUUGCCAGUCAUAACCAGACGGUCGUAAAGUCGAUCAGUCAUAAGUUGCAUAGGUCGUAAGUCGACGACUACCUGUACUUGGAUGUAGAAGUUUGACCACUUCUUCCACUUAGAAAACUACACUAUAUGGCCAGAAGUUUGUGGGCACCUGACCAUCACACCCAUAUGUGCUUGCUGAACAUCCCAUAACAGAUUCAGUUCCCCCUUGCUGUAAUAAUACUACUCCUCUGUGGAAGCUUUCCACUAGGUUUUUGGAGCAUGGCUGUGGGGAUUUGUGCUCAUUCAGUAUUAAGAGCAUGAGUGAGGUCAGAGACUGAUGGUGGGUGAGGAGGCCUGGGGCUCGGUCAGUGUUCCAGUUCAUCCUAAAGGUGUUCAGGUUGGGCUUGAGCUCAGGGCUCUGUGCGGGCCACUUGAGUUCUGACACCAGCCUUGGCAAACUAUGUCUGCAUGGAGCUCGCUUUGUGCACAGAAACCUAGUCAUGCUGAAACGGGUUCGAGCCUCUUGGCUCCAGUGAAGGGAAAUUGUAAUUCUGGUGCCCACAAACCUUUGGCCAUAUAGUGUAUGAUACAAAGUGAUGGUAAUCUUUAUCCAGGACGUUCUUAUUGAGUUAGAAAUUGCCAGUGGGAUUUUAUUAAAUAUAUUUGGUUUAUUAUUAUUAAGCAUCUAAAGAUUAGUACAAAUCAGAGUACUGCUGUAAUUAAUGUAUUUCUUUAUUUGGUUAUGGGAGGAUAUAUUUUAUACAGGGAUAAUAUUCACAUUUUAAUUUACGU